RNAcentral lists this transfer-messenger RNA (398 nucleotides) under bovine gut metagenome. It matches the Rfam family "transfer-messenger RNA". From Rfam's summary of the family: Bacterial tmRNA, also known as 10Sa RNA or SsrA, is named for its dual tRNA and mRNA-like properties. Its role is to liberate the mRNA from a stalled ribosome. The record is from RNAcentral.
GGGGGUGUUUUGGUUUUGACAGCGCCAGUGUUGGACGGUAAGCAUGCCGGGCGUGGGAGCCUUGCCCGUAAAUCUCAGACUCCAAAAAAUCAGUUGCCAACAACAACUACGCACUCGCUGCUUAAUUCGCCCAAGGCAAUUAGCUUAAUCCGCCUCGCCAAGGCUGCGAGGCCGACGAGUAUCCCUCGGACCUUCCGCCUCUUAAGGGCCGAUCAAGGGGUAUCAUCCAUUUGAGGCUGCUCCGGCAGACGCUUUUAAAGCCGGCUAAGACUCAAAAGCUAAGGGUAGCUUCGCCCGCCUUCCGGCAGGGCUGCCUCGAAAACCAAAGGAAGGAUAAGCAUGUAGAAAGCCGCCUGGCAGGACGUUUGGACAGCGGUUCGAGUCCGCUCACCUCCACC